This is a long non-coding RNA of Micropterus dolomieu (smallmouth bass), 545 nucleotides long. RefSeq lists it as uncharacterized. Lineage: Eukaryota; Metazoa; Chordata; Actinopteri; Centrarchiformes; Centrarchidae. The transcript is spliced from 3 exons. The record is from RefSeq and is a predicted model, not a curated record.
UGUUCCCAGGAGUAUGGAAAUCAGCAGUCUUUGGAACAACAUCUGCUGUUUUCCUGGCUAUCAUAUGGCUCUCUGUCCUCCUACUGAUAGGGAAAAAGAGAUCCUCCAAGCAAUCAUCUGAGCCUGGAGAUAGACCAGACGACAGGGAACAGGAUGACCUUCAUUAUGCCAGUUUCCACUUCUCCAAUAACCAGACAGAUGCUGUCUACUCCAACAUCAUACCAGCUGUCCCCCGAAGACACAAGGAAGAGGAGGAGGAAGUUGUUGAGUACGCUGCCGUCAAAUUUAACAAUGCCAGUACUGCCCCAAGGACCAGAAGUCAGGAAACUGUGGAGGAUCCAGCUGCAUUGUACAGUACAGUCAACAAAAGUGCUGAACGCAACCGGAACGUCUAAUCUGUGCUUUCUGUCAUUUUUAAAUGUGCUAGGCUCUAGGGAUGGCAAAGUUAGUCUGUGGUUGGUUAGUUAGUUUUGCAGUCAGUUGGUCUGCCACUUGCAGAGUCCAGACUGAAAUAGUUCAACAACUAGUUUUUACUGACAUUUAUG